This 838-nucleotide ribosomal RNA is filed under the name uncultured bacterium. Its description in RNAcentral is "bacterial SSU rRNA". It matches the Rfam family "Bacterial small subunit ribosomal RNA", at positions 32 to 916 of the family's 1533-position model. The record is from RNAcentral.
AACUCAUGGCUGGCAGGCCUAACACAUGCAAGUCGAGCGCGCCCUUCGGGGUGAGCGGCGGACGGGUUAGUAACGCGUGGGAAUAUACCCGACACUAAGGAAUAGCCUCUGGAAACGGAGAGUAAUACCUUAUACGCCCUUCGGGGGAAAGAUUUAUCGGUGACGGAUUAGCCCGCGUUAGAUUAGAUAGUUGGUGGGGUAAUGGCCUACCAAGUCUACGAUCUAUAGCUGGUUUUAGAGGAUGAUCAGCAACACUGGGACUGGGACACGGCCCAGACUCCUACGGGAGGCAGCAGUGGGGAAUCUUGGACAAUGGGCGCAAGCCUGAUCCAGCCAUGCCGCGUGAGUGAUGAAGGCCUUAGGGUCGUAAAGCUCUUUCGCCAGAGAUGAUAAUGACAGUAUCUGGUAAAGAAACCCCGGCUAACUCCGUGCCAGCAGCCGCGGUAAUACGGAGGGGGUUAGCGUUGUUCGGAAUUACUGGGCGUAAAGCGCGCGUAGGCGGAUUAGUAAGUUAGAGGUGAAAUCCCGGGGCUCAACCCCGGAACUGCCUUUAAUACUGCUAGUCUUGAGUUCGAGAGAGGUGAGUGGAAUUCCGAGUGUAGAGGUGAAAUUCGUAGAUAUUCGGAGGAACACCAGUGGCGAAGGCGGCUCACUGGGCUCGAUACUGACGCUGAGGUGCGAAAGUGUGGGGAGUAAACAGGAUUAGAUACCCUGGUAGUCCACACCGUAAACGAUGAAUGCCAGUCGUCGGGUAGCAUGCUAUUCGGUGACACACCUAACGGAUUAAGCAUUCCGCCUGGGGAGUACGGUCGCAAGAUUAAAACUCAAUGAUUGACGG